GCCUGGCUGGCUCAGUUGGUAGAGUACCUGACUCUCGAUCUUGGGGUCAUGAGUUCAUGCCCCAUGUUGGGUG
RNAcentral lists this transfer RNA (73 nucleotides) under Canis lupus familiaris (dog). It matches the Rfam family "tRNA". From Rfam's summary of the family: Transfer RNA (tRNA) molecules are approximately 80 nucleotides in length. Lineage: Eukaryota; Metazoa; Chordata; Mammalia; Carnivora; Canidae. The record is from Rfam by way of RNAcentral. RNAcentral also lists the same sequence under 2 other names.